ACAGCUAUGGUGAAAUGGUAUCAUGCAUCGUUGCCACGUUGAAUUCGAUGCGGUGGGGGUUCGAUUCCCCCUGGCUGUA
RNAcentral lists this transfer RNA (79 nucleotides) under Trichosporon asahii var. asahii CBS 2479. RNAcentral's name for it is "tRNA-Gly". It matches the Rfam family "tRNA". From Rfam's summary of the family: Transfer RNA (tRNA) molecules are approximately 80 nucleotides in length. Their secondary structure includes four short double-helical elements and three loops (D, anti-codon, and T loops). Further hydrogen bonds mediate the characteristic L-shaped molecular structure. tRNAs have two regions of fundamental functional importance: the anti-codon, which is responsible for specific mRNA codon recognition, and the 3' end, to which the tRNAs corresponding amino acid is attached (by aminoacyl-tRNA synthetases). tRNAs cope with the degeneracy of the genetic code in two manners: having more than one tRNA (with a specific anti-codon) for a particular amino acid; and 'wobble' base-pairing, i.e. permitting non-standard base-pairing at the 3rd anti-codon position. Lineage: Eukaryota; Fungi; Basidiomycota; Tremellomycetes; Trichosporonales; Trichosporonaceae. The record is from RNAcentral. RNAcentral also lists the same sequence under 1 other name.